ACUGCCAUAAUGCUAUAGUGCUGGUUUGCAAAGAAAAGUUGGCUAACAGUUAGCAUGGCAAAGAAGGCACUCUUUUGUUGUCCGUGUCUGCUAAACUGGUUGUGGACGGGUUUCCUAGAUUUAAAACAUCUCUCUGACUCUAAACCACUCUGUACAGUCCCAUUGAGCUUUACGCAGGUAAGAUGGGUCUUGUGUCUAAAACUUAGAGGAGGAUUUUACUGAGAAAGUGACUCUGAUAAAAACUAUAACAACAAUUCCAGUUAAGACAUAAAGUGCAGAGGAUAACAACUUUCAACUUUCAACUGUCCAUGCUCUCUAAUGCAAGCUGAAGUUCGCCCAGAACAAGAACCGCAGCGCUGCUUUUCUCUUCAAAAGAGCCCCCAGCUUUGCGUCAUGAAACUUCAGCCUGGCAGUGGGACUUAAACACACAGGUGGAACAAGCCAGGGUGAAACAGAUCUGUCUGCAGCAGGGUUUCCGUCCCCACAGUCCAGGGGGGAUUUGGUCCCCAGGUUUGUUGACUGACCAGUGGGUCUCAGGCUUAAAUCCCGCCUUGACCUUUGACCCCAACACUAAUUACAUAUAGCCAGAGUGCUGACGGCUAUAAUACACCCUGGGCUGAAUAGAAAGCCUCCCAAGGUUGUCUACAAAAGACACGGAAGCUGCAGAGCAGAAGACGCCUUGAACCCUUUAAGCCCGGACGGAGACCCUGGACUGUGGGUGGAAGCGGUGAUCACUGGAGGGAUGGAGGCGUUUCUCAGAGCAUUAACAUGACCUUUGUUUAGCUCUAAUCCCACAGACAAAUAAUGUUGUCAGUGAUAAGGUGGCGAUGGGAAAGCGGGUGAUGAUUGUUCAGGAGCAGAGGGGUCAUGGCUUCAAUUGGAGAGAUCUUUCUUGUUAAAAACUUCACUUAAAAUUAGAAAUAAUGAACAGCUGAUUCAGAA
This is a long non-coding RNA of Notolabrus celidotus (New Zealand spotty), 942 nucleotides long. RefSeq lists it as uncharacterized. NCBI's taxonomy places the organism in Eukaryota, Metazoa, Chordata, Actinopteri, Labriformes, Labridae. The transcript is spliced from 3 exons. The record is from RefSeq and is a predicted model, not a curated record.